CAGACAAGAUCCUACCAUCUAUACAUAAGCCUACUAUGAUUAACACUAAUCUGACCCAGAUAUGGUCACACACUAAAACACAUUCAAUAUUAAUUCAAGUACCAUGAACGAAUUAAUCGUAUGAAUAUCCCUUACACAUUAGUCAUCUUGUCAACACUGGAUUGCAGUAUUUGGUUGACAGUGUCGUAGCUGCCUAUUUGCUCUCAUCUGACCUUCUGACAUGGAAUAUGAGUAAAAUCCAAGAAUUUUGUAUUUUAUAGACUUUAACCAUGCGCAUGCACAUCCAUCUAUUUUGUUGUUGAAUCCAGUGAUUUUUUUCAGGCAUCAACAAUGCAGCAAUGCCUCACUGGCAUCAUGAUUAUUGAACGGCCCAACACUACAGAAAUUCAGCCAACCAUUGACUUCGCUAGACAACAACCCACAUUCACGGCUUCAGUGCGCUGCUUCAGCUUUGUGAAACAAAGGGAUAAUUGCAACGAACGGAAAUGCAAUCAUAAUCCAUUAAGAUAAUUGAAGAGCCAGUGUCCUUCUGGAUCCAAGGACUGGCCAGGAAACAGAGGGAUUCACAUGGAAGAGUUGACAGUUGACACACUCGUUGACGCCUCUUGUCCAGGCAGGUAGGCAACUCAACCAUGGCAACAAGAGGCCAAGCUUGUCUUACCAAAAUUUAGAGACAUCAACCACGCUUUCCUCCCCUUUAGGACGUCGAGCCAUCAACUAUGCACGGAGGCAGUUCUCUCUUGUGAAACUGCCUGCAGAUCACUCAGAGUAAAUGAAACAGUUAUGAAUUAACCAUUUCUGCAGAGAUGGACUAUACAAGAUUACCUCUUGUGGUCACCGCCAGUUGCUCUGAAGGCUGUCCAUGCAUGGUCCUAGGCGCACAUGAGAAACAGAAGAAGUACCACCGCACUUAGUUGAGGAGCACCCAGCACUGUAGUACUCUUGGGUGGUUGGGGCAUAUGUGAUGCUUCUGGGUUCCAGCAUAUGUGAUGUGAGUACUAUUAUUUAUGGGACCAGAAGAUAGCAACUGCAUUCAGAAAUCUAGCAUGUCAACUGAAGAACUGGGCACAUGGAGGAUUUAUAAGUUUGUUCCGGAAAAAUUCUAGACUUUAAAGAUCAAAGCACGUUGCAAACAAACUCGUUUAACUUUACCAAAAUAAGAUAUGCUCAAUAGCUGCAGCAUAAGGGACUCAAUUCUAUCGAAGUUGCUACAAUUUUUUGAGGGAAGCAUGUUAAAUAUAUCAAAACUGCAAACACGAGUCCUGAGAGACGA
Molecule: long non-coding RNA, 1273 nt
Filed under: Zea mays
Lineage: Eukaryota; Viridiplantae; Streptophyta; Magnoliopsida; Poales; Poaceae
Description: long non-coding RNA (ZMAY_LNC001162)
Source: RNAcentral